AGACGUAGGGGGCGAGCGUUGCUCGGAAUCACUGGGCUUAAAGGGCGCGUAGGCGGUUGUGCAAGUCUGGGGUUGAAGCCCACGGCUCAACCGUGGAAAGGCCCUAGAAACUGCACGACUAGAGUGAGCGAGGGGAGGGCGGAAUUCCCGGUGUAGCGGUGAAAUGCGUAGAUAUCGGGAGGAAGGCCGGUGGCGAAGGCGGCCCUCUGGCGCUUGACUGACGCUGAGGCGCGAAAACGUGGGGAGCAAACAGGAUUAGAUACCCUAGUAGUCC
RNAcentral lists this ribosomal RNA (274 nucleotides) under uncultured bacterium. Its description in RNAcentral is "partial 16S ribosomal RNA". It matches the Rfam family "Bacterial small subunit ribosomal RNA", at positions 523 to 796 of the family's 1533-position model. The record is from RNAcentral.